Long non-coding RNA from Phyllostomus discolor (pale spear-nosed bat), 1869 nucleotides. RefSeq lists it as uncharacterized. NCBI's taxonomy places the organism in Eukaryota, Metazoa, Chordata, Mammalia, Chiroptera, Phyllostomidae. The record is from RefSeq and is a predicted model, not a curated record. The transcript has 3 exons.
GGGCUGGGCGGGCGUCCCACCCCCGGACCUUGCUGUCUGCACCCCACCACGGGGGCCCUGGGCAGGGUUGGGGAGUGGGGGGGGCGGCAGAAUGUGGAUACCUCGUGCCAGGGGCAGGUGGCUUCACUGUCUUCCUUGGAAGAACGAGACAGCUACCUCCAGCAGAGGCCUGGAAGCCCCAGACAGCGCCUGAGCUGACCAACAGCAAGCCUUGAGCCCCCCACCCCUAGCACGGGGGACAGCAGCGGGGCAGAGGCGCCGAGAAGACUUCUGAGGGGGUUGUGCCCAGCCUCACGGCCACCUUUGCAGACUUCCCUGCACAGGGAAGUUGGCUUUGCUGAGUGUCAAAAUCAGAGCAGGCCUGUGUGUGUGCCUCUGAGUGCUAGACUCAGACGGCAAGGAAGCACCGGAGUGCACGUGGGCUGAAUCCAGCCGCAUCACUUUCGCUCUUAGUUUUGUGGGGGAAAAUACAGGCGGCGGACCCAAAGCCUCGGUCAGGCCUCAAGCUUCAGGGAUCCCCAGUGCUGGCUUUGCAGUCCCCCCAAACCCACAUGUAAGCCAAGUAUGCCCAGCUGUAUGGCACCGACUCAGCUGGGGGCAUAGAAACCUCCAGGUUUAGGUGGGGCGACAAAGCCAGUGCCUGGGCAACCAUUAGAGCGCCAUUAAAGCGGGAACCUGCGUGGCAUCGUCUCUGUUCAGAGGAGACAGCGGGUGAGGGCCGGGGAAGGCGGGGAGGGCUUCCGGAGCUCCGUGGUCUUAAGUAGCAUUGAGAGACGACAGGGCCAGGUGGAGGGAAGGAAGCCUGAGUCUUAGGUGAAGCUCAGAACAAGCAGAGAGCUCACUGCCCACCAGAUGCAGCCCUGGGUCCCUGUCUCCCUUUCCAGCUCUGCCUCUGGUCACUCUCUUCUGUCCCCUGCACAGCGACUUCCUGUCAGGUUCUGACCAGGUCUUUUUGCAUGCUUCUCUCUUUGUUGUUGGGGAACCCUCUACCUUUUAAAAGAUGUACCUUCUCCACGGAAGACAUCCCUGGCACCCACCACACUGCCCCCCCCCCCCAGUCUUCCAGCAGAAUCGGGGAGCUCCUCCUUUGCCCUCACUGCUCCUGCAUGAACCUCUAGGGACGCUCUUACACCCUGCAUUGCCUGCUGGAGUUGAGGGGUCUCCGCCCCACUUGCUGAGGCAGGGCUGGGUCUCACUCAGUGUGCAAUCCUCUGAGCCCAAGCUGGCGGCUGGCACAGAGCAGGCCUUUGGGAAAUGUUGUUGGACUGAACUUGAGCCAUAUAUAGUGGGCAUUGAAGCGCUUCACCUCCUUGGAACGGAAGGCGUGCGUUAAGCACUAUUAUUGGGAAUUUGAGAUUAGAUACAUCUGGUAGAGCUAAAUCCUGGGGUCUCAAGGAGUCUGAGUUCAGGGCAGUGACAGCACUCAAGCCCUUAGCAGCCCCCGCUGCCCUCAGGACGGGAUGCAGGCUCCUUCUGGGUCGGACCCCAGGGUAUCCUCCUCGGCCUCAGCUCCCACGGUCCCCACCUUGGACUCACACCUGCCGAGCCUGGGCUCCCCCCUCUCCCUAGACCACCAGGGAUGCCCACGGCCGCCUCCAGCUCAUUCUUGAUCCUUAGGACCCCGUGUCUCUCUCCCUGGGUGUGGAGGUCCCUCAGCCCCACCGCAUGGGCACACCACCUCUAACGGCCUCACAUCCCCUGGCGGCUGCCCCCCUGCUCGUGACUCGGCACCCCAAAGGCAGUGAUGGGGUGUUCCCUGGAGAAAUCCGGUUGGAGGACCCCUUUGUUGAGAGAGAGUGCCCAGCAAACACAUCUCUGAUGGAAGAUCGAACCCUGGUGAUGGAAACGAAAGAGGAAGAGCAAUGCUAG